RNAcentral lists this non-coding RNA (30 nucleotides) under Mus musculus (house mouse). Lineage: Eukaryota; Metazoa; Chordata; Mammalia; Rodentia; Muridae. The record is from RNAcentral.
UAAGGAUGAGUGACAGGUCCUCAGUUUUCU